CCUACGGGAGGCUGCAGUGGGGAAUAUUGCACAAUGGGGGAAACCCUGAUGCAGCGACGCCGCGUGAGUGAGGAAGUAUUUCUGUAUGUAAAGCUCUAUCAGCAGGGGAGAAAAUGACGGUACCUGACUAAGAAUCCCCGGCUAACUACGUGCCAGCAGCCGCGGUAAUACGUAGGGGGCAAGCGUUAUCCGGAUUUACUGGGUGUAAAGGGAGCGUAGACGGCUAAUCAAGUCAGAAGUGAAAGCCCAGGGCUCAACCUUGGGAGUGCUUUUGAAACUGAGUAGCUAGAGUGUAGGAGAGGUAGGCGGAAUGCGUAGUGUAGCGGUGAAAUGCGUAGAUAUUAGGAGGAACACCAGUGGCGAAGGCGGCUUACUGGACUGUAACUGACGUUGAGGCUCGAAAGCGUGGGGAGCAAACAGGAUUAGAUACCCCAGUAGUC
This 440-nucleotide ribosomal RNA is filed under the name uncultured bacterium. RNAcentral describes it as "partial 16S ribosomal RNA". It matches the Rfam family "Bacterial small subunit ribosomal RNA", at positions 338 to 795 of the family's 1533-position model. The record is from RNAcentral.